Jaculus jaculus (lesser Egyptian jerboa) is the source of this 131-nucleotide small nucleolar RNA. Lineage: Eukaryota; Metazoa; Chordata; Mammalia; Rodentia; Dipodidae. The record is from Ensembl.
CAGCAUGUUUGCAAGGGUAGUGGCUGGUUGUGGCAAUGGGAUCUUCAGCUGCACGCUAGAGCAACCUGCAGAGACUUUGACAGCUCAGGCCAGUCCAGUACAUGCACCUGCCACUCAUCUUUCCCAUAAUG